GAUGAACGCUGGCGGCGUGCCUAAUACAUGCAAGUCGAGCGAACAGACGAGGAGCUUGCUCCUCUGACGUUAGCGGCGGACGGGUGAGUAACACGUGGAUAACCUACCUAUAAGACUGGGAUAACUUCGGGAAACCGGAGCUAAUACCGGAUAAUAUAUUGAACCGCAUGGUUCAAUAGUGAAAGACGGUUUUGCUGUCACUUAUAGAUGGAUCCACGCCGCAUUAGCUAGUUGGUAAGGUAACGGCUUACCAAGGCCACGAUGCGUAGCCGACCUGAGAGGGUGAUAGGCCACACUGGAACUGAGACACGGUCCAGACUCCUACGGGAGGCAGCAGGAGGGAAUCUUCCGCAAUGGGCGAAAGCCUGACGGAGCAACGCCGCGUGAGUGAUGAAGGUCUUCGGAUCGUAAAACUCUGUUAUUAGGGAAGAACAAAUGUGUAAGUAACUAUGCACGUCUUGACGGUACCUAAUCAGAAAGCCACGGCUAACUACGUG
Molecule: ribosomal RNA, 497 nt
Filed under: uncultured bacterium
Lineage: Bacteria
Description: partial 16S ribosomal RNA
Rfam family: Bacterial small subunit ribosomal RNA
Source: RNAcentral